This 73-nucleotide transfer RNA is filed under the name Candidatus Omnitrophota bacterium. RNAcentral describes it as "Candidatus Omnitrophica bacterium tRNA-Lys". It matches the Rfam family "tRNA". Rfam says of the family: Transfer RNA (tRNA) molecules are approximately 80 nucleotides in length. Their secondary structure includes four short double-helical elements and three loops (D, anti-codon, and T loops). Further hydrogen bonds mediate the characteristic L-shaped molecular structure. tRNAs have two regions of fundamental functional importance: the anti-codon, which is responsible for specific mRNA codon recognition, and the 3' end, to which the tRNAs corresponding amino acid is attached (by aminoacyl-tRNA synthetases). tRNAs cope with the degeneracy of the genetic code in two manners: having more than one tRNA (with a specific anti-codon) for a particular amino acid; and 'wobble' base-pairing, i.e. permitting non-standard base-pairing at the 3rd anti-codon position. Lineage: Bacteria; Pseudomonadati; Candidatus Omnitrophota. The record is from RNAcentral.
GGGCCAUUAGCUCAAUUGGUAGAGCAGCGGACUCUUAAUCCGGAGGUUGCAGGUUCAAGUCUUGCAUGGCCCA